GAUGAACGCUGGCGGCGUGCCUAAUACAUGCAAGUCGAGCGAACAGACGAGGAGCUUGCUCCUCUGACGUUAGCGGCGGACGGGUGAGUAACACGUGGAUAACCUACCUAUAAGACUGGGAUAACUUCGGGAAACCGGAGCUAAUACCGGAUAAUAUAUUGAACCGCAUGGUUCAAUAGUGAAAGACGGUUUGGCUGUCACUUAUAGAUGGAUCCGCGCCGCAUUAGCUAGUUGGUAAGGUAACGGCUUACCAAGGCAACGAUGCGUAGCCGACCUGAGAGGGUGAUCGGCCACACUGGAACUGAGACACGGUCCAGACUCCUACGGGAGGCAGCAGUAGGGAAUCUUCCGCAAUGGGCGAAAGCCUGACGGAGCAACGCCGCGUGAGUGAUGAAGGUCUUCGGACCGUAAAACUCUGUUAUUAGGGAAGAACAAAUGUGUAAGUAACUAUGCACGUCUUGACGGUACCUAAUCAGAAAGCCACGGCUAACUACGUG
This 497-nucleotide ribosomal RNA is filed under the name uncultured bacterium. Its description in RNAcentral is "partial 16S ribosomal RNA". It matches the Rfam family "Bacterial small subunit ribosomal RNA", at positions 28 to 507 of the family's 1533-position model. The record is from RNAcentral.